UGAACGCUAGCGGCAGGCCUAACACAUGCAAGUCGAGGGAGAAGCCCUUUCGGGGGCAGAAACCGGCGCACGGGUGCGUAACGCGUAUGCAACCUACCUUUCACAGGGGGAUAGCCCGAAGAAAUUUGGAUUAAUACCCCAUAAUAUUAUUGGAUGGCAUCAUUUGAUAAUUAAAACUGCGGUGGUGAAAGAUGGGCAUGCGUCCUAUUAGCUAGUUGGAGUGGUAACGGCACCCCAAGGCUACGAUAGGUAGGGGUCCUGAGAGGGAGAUCCCCCACACGGGUACUGAGACAGGGACCAGACUCCUACGGGAGGCAGCAGUGAGGAAUAGUGGGCAAUGGUCGGAAGACUGAACCAGCCAUGCCGCGUGCAGGAAGAAUGCCUUAUGGGUUGUAAACUGCUUUUAUAUGGGAAGAAUAAGGCGUACGUGUACGUUGAUGACGGUACCAGAUGAAUAAGCAUCGGCUAACUCCGUG
RNAcentral lists this ribosomal RNA (476 nucleotides) under uncultured bacterium. RNAcentral's name for it is "partial 16S ribosomal RNA". It matches the Rfam family "Bacterial small subunit ribosomal RNA", at positions 30 to 507 of the family's 1533-position model. The record is from RNAcentral.